GCACCAGACGAGCCGCAGGGCGGGACAGA
Molecule: small RNA, 29 nt
Filed under: Bombyx mori (domestic silkworm)
Lineage: Eukaryota; Metazoa; Arthropoda; Insecta; Lepidoptera; Bombycidae
Description: ovarian small RNA-16301
Source: RNAcentral